GUCUGCGUAGCUCAGUCGGUUAGAGUGUAGGUCUCAUAUCUACGAAUCAAUAGGGUCAUCCUAAGGUCGCGAGUUCGAUCCUCGCCGCGGACA
Molecule: transfer RNA, 93 nt
Filed under: Planoprotostelium fungivorum
Lineage: Eukaryota; Evosea; Variosea; Cavosteliida; Cavosteliaceae
Rfam family: tRNA
About the family: Transfer RNA (tRNA) molecules are approximately 80 nucleotides in length. Their secondary structure includes four short double-helical elements and three loops (D, anti-codon, and T loops).
Source: Rfam by way of RNAcentral